RNAcentral lists this unclassified non-coding RNA (3377 nucleotides) under Leishmania donovani. RNAcentral's name for it is "gene:LdHU3.05.0670(CDS-product:ATP-dependent_RNA_ helicase_putative)". Lineage: Eukaryota; Euglenozoa; Kinetoplastea; Trypanosomatida; Trypanosomatidae. The record is from RNAcentral.
CAACACGCGCACGCACUCACGCACACGAGCAUACACACCUGCGUUGGCGGGCGAGCAGGCUAGCCGCGAAGGCUGGACAGAUCGCACACGCCAGCACUCACAAGCAUACAAGCACAAGGUGCUGGAGAGAAGCCAGUGGGUAGUUUCAGGCAUGCAGCCGCAUCCGUCAUGGCGUGUCUACGUCGGCGAUGACGUCGACGUUGGCGGUACUGGUGGUACUGCUGCCGCUGCUGCGGACCAGACGAACACUCACGCAUCGCCCAACAUGGAGGAGGAUGUGGCGCGCUUGCUCGACUCGGCGUUCGCGCGGCGUGCCCGCUAUACCCUACAGACCCUCCCAGCGAGGAUUCGCCAGCAGCCAUCUGCCGCGCCGUCCCCCGUGCUGCGCUGGCUGCUGCAGCACAGUGUGGACGAAGGGCAGAGAAAGAAGGAGCAGGCAGGAACGGCGCCCGGUGCGACGGACAAACCUAGUGCCACUCCUGCGUCUGCGCUGUCGCCCACCGUUGCUGCAACAUCAGGAUGCGUUUCGGCAGCAGCAGCAGCGACGUCAGCGCUAGCGCGCCGCGGUGUCGGACCGAAGGACCCGCUGGUUCAGCGCCUCCUGAAGAAGCAGCAGAAGACAGCUUCGUCUGCGUCCGCAGCAACGUCAGCCACGUCCGCCGCGCCAAGCAGUGCCACGAGUGCCACCGCCUCAACCGUUAUCAGCGGCAGCACAACCGCGUCCAUGUCGUGUGCCUCGCACUGGACGCAACGCCCCUUCUCUGCCAUGACGUCCACCAGCUGGAAGGUAUUCCGGCAGCAGCUGGGCAUCACCGUCGAGCUGGUGGCGCCUGCGCAGCCGCCCACAGAGACCAGCGGCGCCAGCGCCGCACAGCCAAGCAGUUUUGUCAAGACGUUGCCGCCAGCCGACACGCUACCGGCGAUCCGCUGCUGGGAGGAAGCCCAGCUGCCGCUUUCGCUUGGCCUGUGCGUCACGCACGCGUACGCGCUGCCGACGGCGGUGCAGGCGCAGUGCGUGCCGCUCGCACUUCUCCCGCGGCCCGCGCCUUUGGUCACGGGCACGAACAGUGGCGGUGUGGCUGGUGCGGCUACGGCGACGGUGCUUGGCAUGGACAUCCUCGCAGUAGCGGAGACCGGUAGCGGCAAGACCGCGGCGUACCUCGUGCCGCUGCUGCACCACGUGCUGUGCCGCGCACCGAAGCUGCUGGGCCACCCCGACCGGAUCUCACUGGGGCCGCUGAGCUUGGUGAUUGUGCCGACGCGUGAGCUGGCAGAGCAGGUGACGGCGUCCUUUCUGCAGUUGUGCGGCCAGGCGCCGGCUGCCUCCAUGUACAACAGCGGCGGGGGCCACAUCUCGCAGGACACCAUCCGCGCCUGGGAGACGCACGAGUUGGAUGUGAGUGGCGCCAGUGGUCACGAUCGUGCGUCCUCUGUGGCCGCGGCGGGGGCGGCGCGAAACCAUCUCAGCGAGCUGCGCGUGGUCAAGGUGGUUGGUGGCGAGAAUCGCGAUGCUCAGUACGCCGCCCUGGCACGCGGCGCGCACUGCGUCGUCGGCACGGUGGGCCAGCUGCAAGUACUUCUCGAGGACCGCCUGCUCUCGCUCGGCAACACGCAGUUCGUCGUGAUGGACGAGGCAGAUCGGAUGAUCGAUGAGCAGCAGGAGGAGCGGCUUACUGCAGUCCUAGAGCGGUGCCCGCAGCCGCGGCAGACAGUCAUGUUCACAGCGACGCUGAGCGUGGCCUGCGCGGCAGUGGCGAAGCGCUACCUCGCCAAGGCCGGCUAUUACCUGGUGCGCACACCGUACCGGUGCGCCUCGAUCCGCCAGUCCUUCGAGCUGGUCGCCGACACCGGCGCCUCAGUCACGGGGACUGCAGAGGACCCCGUCCCCGCCGCGUCUGGCGCUGCCACAGCGACGGCAGAGGGGCGGCAAAAGAAGCCGUCUCGGCAACAAGGACACACCGAGAAGGGCGAACCGCAACCGCCGCAGCGGCAGCGUCUGCUGCACCCUCUUAUACACGCCCAGAAGUUUGUGCGGUUGGUGGCGUGGCUCGUCUACGGCACCGGCCCGAUCAUCGUCUUCGCCAACGAAAAGUCGACGUGCGACGCGCUGUGGGAGGAGCUGCGUGCCGAGGCGGAGCACCUGGACGCACAGCAGGAAUACUACACAAUCGAGGACAUUGUCGGCCCGCCGCCGGACGGCUUGUCGUUUCGCGAAGACACCGCAGUUGGUCAAGGGGCAACGUCGUCCAGCGUGGCGGCGCGGCGCACGCCGACGUUGGCGAACCUAACCUCCGUUGCCGUGGUGCACUCGGAGCUGUCGCAGACGGAGCGGCGCUCUCUCGUGGCGCAGUUCCAGCGGCGUCAGCGGCACGUUCUCAUCACGACAGACCUUCUCGCUCGUGGCCUUGACGUGGCGGGGGUGACGCUUGUGAUCAACUACGACGUGCCGUGGGCCGCCUCUGCCUCGCCGAGCGACGCUGUGACGCUCUACAUCCACCGCAUCGGGCGUACCGGCCGUGCAGGCUCCACCGGCGUCGCCGUCACUUUCGUGACGUUGCCUGCCGCGAUGGUACAACGGGCCGAGGAGGUGGCGAGGGAGGAGGCGAGGGACGCUGCGCCGAAGCCGCCUGAAGGCCGCACGAAACCGCCCAGCGCAGCACCCCGCGUGUAUGGCGACGAGGAUGACGACCUCGCCGCCCUCGGUGAGCUCUUCGACGGCGACACGCGUAAUGUCUGUAUGGCAGGGGCAGCGGCGCUAUCCACCACUGCCGCAGAUAAUGCCAGCGGCCGUCGUCGCCGCCGCGGUGACGACGACAGCGACGACACAGAAGUGGACAGCAGCAACGACAGCGAUGACGACAACGAUGAUGAGGACACCAAGAAGGAGGGCGCCACCGGAAAUACGAGCAACACCGCGAAUCACAACGGCAAUGGCAUGCGGAAGCCGCCGAGGAAGCGCCGCAAGCGCUCGGUCGCCACCUUCGCCAGCGACGUCGCGGUGCUGCGGCCCCUCUGGUCCUUCCUCGUCGAGUGUGCCGAGGGCGAGGGAUGCCGCGAUGGAGCGGCGGCGCUGCGGCGCGGCACAUACGCAAAGAUCAGUGUUCCGGCGGCGCUGGGGUGCAUCAUGGCGCAGCUCUCUGCCACCUCCCAGUACGGCCGCAUUACCCUGUGACAAGUGGGUGUGGAGGGCGUGUGCGCACUUGCACACAGCCCCCCCCCACCACCACCACCCACCCACGCACCUCUCCCUCCCAAACCUUCCUUACACUGUUGAAGGAGUCGUCGCGCCUUGGCCGGAGAAGAGCCGGGGUGCGACAGCGGCGCGGAGGAUACGGUUGGUCGGAGCUCUUCUCGUGCGCGCAGCGCCCACUCACAAC